RNAcentral lists this ribosomal RNA (497 nucleotides) under uncultured bacterium. Its description in RNAcentral is "partial 16S ribosomal RNA". It matches the Rfam family "Bacterial small subunit ribosomal RNA", at positions 28 to 507 of the family's 1533-position model. The record is from RNAcentral.
GAUGAACGCUGGCGGCGUGCCUAAUACAUGCAAGUCGAGCGAACAGACGAGGAGCUUGCUCCUCUGACGUUAGCGGCGGACGGGUGAGUAACACGUGGAUCACCUACCUAUAAGACUGGGAUAACUUCGGGAAACCGGAUCUAAUACCAGAUAAUAUAUUCAACCGCUUGGUUCAAUAGAGAAAGACGGUUUUGCUGUCACUUAUAGAUGGAUCCGCGCCGCAUUAGCUAGUUGGUAAGGUAACGGCUUACCAAGGCAACGAUGCGUAGCCGACCUGAGAGGGUGAUCGGCCACACUGGAACUGAGACACGGUCCAGACUCCUACGGGAGGCAGCAGUAGGGAAUCUUGCGCAAUGGGCGAAAGCCUGAUGGAGCAACACCGCGUGAGUGAUGAAGGUCUUCGGAUCGUAAAACCCUGUUGUUGGGAAAGAAAAAAAGUGUAAUUAUACACGGACGUUUUGACGGUACCCAAUCAGAAAGCCACGGCUAACUACGUG